RNAcentral lists this long non-coding RNA (500 nucleotides) under Ananas comosus (pineapple). RNAcentral's name for it is "long non-coding RNA (ACOM_LNC043188)". The record is from RNAcentral. Lineage: Eukaryota; Viridiplantae; Streptophyta; Magnoliopsida; Poales; Bromeliaceae.
UCUAACCAAACCUUUGGAUCAAAAGCGUUUUCUGCAUUUAAGAAAGGCAAUUGAUAUGAAUCCUUCAAUCUAGAUAUAUUCUAUUGAGCCAUAGAUCAUGUGCGUGUUGCAUUUUUACUUGCAUGAUUUUCGGUGUUUGAGAUUGAAUUUCGUGAAUAAUGUUGCUGUUUUGGGAGAUGAAUUGGUCUGUGACUUGAAUUAUUUUAUAUUUAAUUUUUGAUUGAUCACUGUCGGGGUUAUUCUCCAUUGGCAUAUUUUUGAACGAUCAAAUCAUUGAAACUCUAUUUAGCAUAUUGAAUCAAAUUCAACACCUCAUACUUCAAACUUUGAAUGUUGCAAUUGUUUGUUUGAUUAUUAGUUUUGAGAUGAAUAAAUCUUUCUCUGUUUUUGAAAUUGCGAUAAUAUUUUUGACUUGAGGGUUGCACUAAUUUAGGGGGAGUCUUUCCGAUUUUAGCUAUGAAAAUUUCUGAAAUUCAAGAUGUGGAAAGAGUUACAUCCCU